CACAUCUGCCCUUGACACAUUCUCACUGUUUAGUGCUGAUCCACAUGCAGAUAGUGCGCCUUCUACAACACAUUUAGGACACCUUAAAAUAAAGUGUUACACAGAUGUAUCAUCACUAGCUGUGAGGAAUUAUAAUGCACUUCUUUCAGUAAAUCUACAGUGACCUGCAUCUGAUCUCAGACCUGUCGCACUGCACUAACGCCCCGCUCCCGUCUCUGCUCAAAGGCAAAGAACACACAGCACGCUGAAUCAUCAACAGUUUUCUGGGGCUGAACAUGAGAAGGAUAAAUGAAGGGACUGUUUAUGUUGAUGCUGUUCCCCGGCUCUUCUUCUGCUUCAGGAACAGAUUCAGAGAAGCUCAAAAAGACUGAAAGUGAUUAGGGAUUGUUCAUAAUUAAACAUUAAGGGGGAAAUGAGCUCUGAAACACAGUGGAAAUCAAGCCAAAUGCUUUACUAAGUUCUGCUUCAGUUCUUCCAAUACUCCCAAAACGCAUUCUAGUCAUUUUACCAAGCUUGCAGGCCUUUUUAGUGCUUUAUUUAAUGUGUUAUUCUGCUGUUCUCCAGCUGUUUAUCUGCUUCUGUAACAAAUGCAACACUUCA
This is a long non-coding RNA of Sinocyclocheilus anshuiensis, 600 nucleotides long. RefSeq lists it as uncharacterized. The transcript has 2 exons. NCBI's taxonomy places the organism in Eukaryota, Metazoa, Chordata, Actinopteri, Cypriniformes, Cyprinidae. The record is from RefSeq and is a predicted model, not a curated record.